GACGAACGCUGGCGGCGUGCUUAACACAGGCAAGUCGAGCGGUGAGGCACCUUCGGGAGUACACGAGCGGCGAACGGGCGAGUAACACGUGAGCAGUCGGCCCUGCUCAUCGGAAUUACCAUUGGAAACGAUGGCUAAUGCCGAAUACGACUUCAUUGCGCAUGUCAGGGAGGGGAAAGCUCCGGCGGAGAAGGAUGAGCUCGCGGCCUAUCAGCUUGUUGGUGAGGUAAUGGCUCACCAAGGCGACGACGGGUAGCCGGCCUGAGAGGGUGACCGGCCACACUGGGACCGAGACACGGCCCAGACCCCAACGGGAGGCAGCAGUGGGGAAUAUUGGCCAAUGGGCGAAAGCCUGAUCCAGCAACGCCGCGUGAGGGAUGACGGCCCUCGGGUUGUAAACCUCUUUCAGCAGGGACGAAGCGAAAGUGACGGUACCUGCAGAAGAAGGACCGGCCAACUACGUGCCAGCCGCCGCCGUAA
Molecule: ribosomal RNA, 480 nt
Filed under: uncultured bacterium
Lineage: Bacteria
Description: partial 16S ribosomal RNA
Rfam family: Bacterial small subunit ribosomal RNA
Source: RNAcentral